UACGGAGGAGUCCGAGCGUUAUCCGGAAUUAUUGGGGUUUAAAGGGUAGCGUAGGCGGCCAUUUAAGUCAGCGGUGAAAUUUUGCAGCUUAAACUGUAACAGUGCCGUUGAUACUGUUUGGCUAGGAUUUGGUUGUAGUGUGCGGAAUGUGUGGUGUAGCGGUGAAAUGCUUAGAUAAUCACACAGAACACCGAUUGCGAAGGCAGCACACUUAAGUCAUUAUUGACGCUGAGGCACGAAAAGUAGUGGGGAGUCAAACAAGGAUUAGAUA
Molecule: ribosomal RNA, 271 nt
Filed under: uncultured prokaryote
Description: partial 16S ribosomal RNA
Rfam family: Bacterial small subunit ribosomal RNA
Source: RNAcentral